CCUACGGGAGGCAGCAGUGAGGAAUAUUGGUCAAUGGACGGAAGUCUGAACCAGCCAUGCCGCGUGCAGGAAGACGGCUCUAUGAGUUGUAAACUGCUUUUGUACAGGGGUAAACGUGAAUACGUGUAUUCAUCUGAAAGUACUUUACGAAUAAGAAUCGGCUAACUCCGUGCCAGCAGCCGCGGUAAUACAGAGGAUCCAAGCGUUAUCCGGAUUUAUUGGGUUUAAAGGGUGCGUAGGGGGUAUGUCAAGUCAAGGGUGAAAGCCCCGCGCUCAACGUGGGAACUGCCUUUGAAACUGGCAAACUGGAGUGUGUGAGAGGAUAGUGGAAUGCCAGGUGUAGGAGUGAAAUGCGUAGAUAUCGGGAGGAACAUCAGUGGCGAAGGCGACUAUCUGGCACAUAACUGACGCUGAGGAGCGAAAGCGUGGGUAGCAAACAGGAUUAGAUACCCUUGUAGUC
RNAcentral lists this ribosomal RNA (460 nucleotides) under uncultured bacterium. RNAcentral describes it as "partial 16S ribosomal RNA". It matches the Rfam family "Bacterial small subunit ribosomal RNA", at positions 338 to 795 of the family's 1533-position model. The record is from RNAcentral.